UCACUCGCGCCGCAGCCGCCGCUGCGGCUGCAGCUGCGGACCUGGACCUCGAUGGACCGCAAUGGACCUGGACAGACUUGGAAGGACCCGGAUGGACCCGGAUGGACCUGGACGCUGAAGAAUCCUGCCUGCAGCUUCUUGCUUCAAUUUAGCAAUCCUUCCCCUGGCUUUCAACCAUGAAGUUCUUUCCAGCCCUGCUUCUCAUGACCAUCAUGGCCCAGCCACUCACAAUCCGAUUCUAGGAAGGAAUAUCUGGGACCAUAACAGAAGCGAAGGGUCUAGGAUACCAGAGGUGGGGAGGAAGGGCCCAUGCCCUGGAAUGCUAUGUCUGUGAAUACAAAGGGUACAACUGCUUCAAGCCCAUGAGGUGCCCCGAUUAUGUCAACUACUGUAUGACCACCCGGACCUAUAUCACUCCAACCAGGGUAACAGUCAGCAAGUCCUGCGUCCCCACCUGCUUUGAGACCCUGUACGAUGGCUACACCAAGAAUGCUGCCACCACGUCCUGCUGCCAGUAUGACUACUGCAAUGGGGCUAGCCUUGGGGCCCAGGCUUCCUCAGCUCUGGCCCUCACCACAAUCCUCAGCACGCUCUGGGGGCUGCUCCCCCCCAGCCUCUGACCCAGGCUAACUGGACCCCUUCCCUUUUCCCAGAAGCCCCAGAUCAACUUGGCUCUGUGAGAGAUGAGGAGAACAUGGCGACUUCAUAACUGUCCCUGGCCCCUGCCCCACACAUCGAGCCCCUCCCAUGGCCUCUUCCCAGGACCACCUCAUCUGCCAGAAGCCCCCAGCACUCGUGGGAUGUCAGACCCUCCCCAGGUGCUUUCCGUUCAAGUCUAGAUCCUCCCAUUGCUGUAACAGGCCUGGGAGUCCUUCCCAUACCACCAGGGGAUGGGAGUGGUCCUUGUUUCUAGCUAAUCCAUAGGCUUCUUCUCUGCCUGUCACUGAAGUGGGAAUCUGUUUGGAACCCAGAGUUGGGGGGGCAGAAGGGGAAGAGGCUCUUGGAUUCUUGGAUUUACCCAUACCCUUGUUCCUGGACUAGUUUUAUUUUUAUGCUGGCCGUCUCGGAACUCUUCACACCUCUGCUCCUCAACCCCAUCCACUUUUCAAAAUGUCUGACUUUGAACUUGAUUGACUAAUGUGGGACCUGACACCUGAAAAGUUCAUGGAUCUGCCAUCCACACUGGACUCCUUCUGCAGGGAUGAGUGUUGGGGGAAGACCAAUUUAGGGUGGGGUAUGAGGGGGGGGAGGCACAUACACAGGGGUUGGACAAGUACGGUUUUUUGUUACCUGUUGUGUUCUGAUGGGGGACUGGGGGUGGGGGUGGAAGCAAUAGAAUACUGCCGCUGGGGAGGGAGUGGGAGAUAUAGAGAACCUGGUCAAGGGAGAAAAUACCCCUAUCCCUAGGAAGCCCCUGGUCUGAGAUGGAUUGUCAUAGUUAACCCCUUAUUUCAGUUGGCUCUUCCAGAGGAAUGGGAAGAGACUGAGUCCACAGGAAGGUAAGGCCUACCCAAAGACUGACACAUACCAUGGAAGGUUGAGAUGUAGGGUAGCUUUUCCUGAGCUGCCCUGGGAAGGUCCUCACAGAUAGAAUUGCUGAACGUGAGAGCUGGAAGAUCCCUUAGAGACCAUCUAGUCCAAUCCACUCAUUUUACAGAAAAGGAAAUCGAGGCACAGGUUGGUGAGGUGACUUGUCAAUGGUCACAAAGUGAGGUUGUCUGUAACACUGGGUCCCCUGGGUUCCGACACAACUCAGAUCCUCUUGUUACAUCACUGGUCCCCUGUGCUAUUUUGAGUCACUUAUCCCAAAACCUCAAGCUUGAGCCCCGGCCAUUACAUUUCUAUGCCACACCAAAGAAAAUAUACAUGACCAUUGAAACACACACACACACAUUUCAUUACAGCAGAAUAGGAAGGUAAAUAACAGGGUAGAAAUGUUGUCUGUACUUAUGCACAAAAGAUUGCCGUAUCCUGUGCUUUUAAUCCCCUCUCCCACCCUUAGCUAUUCCACUUUCAGUUCAGACCCAAGGAACCUCAGUGAACCUUAGGGUUUGAAAUCAUCUGCCUCUUGGGUUUCUUUCCUUCCAGUCUCAGUGGGGCGAGAUAUAUAGAACGAAUGUCUAAGGGCUGAAUGAAAGCUGGUCUCCUACCACAACUCUGGAAUCAUCCCAUAGUGGUCUGGCCAGGCCAUGUAGCCGCCUGUGUUCCCCACAGCUCUCACAGCCCCACUGUUUGCUUUUCCCAUAUGCUCAUUUCUGUAGCUCCUGAACCGCUAAGCUUCAGUACCUUCUGAUCUCUCUCAUCAUAUAGUAGCUACCUCCCUUUUCCAAGUCUGUGCCCCUACUCCCUAAUCUCCGAUCCUUAACAUCUGUUCUGCCCUUCCAAGUCUGCACUGCCAGCUCCCUUCACGUGGCUGCUCUCCCCUUCCUAGUUUAAGCCCACCUGACACAGUUCCUCUUCAUUCAGAUUUUGCAACCAACUGCCCAUCUACAACGGUUGGAGAGAGGGGAUUCUAUUUCUCCGGUUCUCCAUAAUUUCUGUCGUCCUGGUUGCCAGGGAGUCCAACGAGCUCCCCUGUGGGCAGCAGGCGGUUUUAGUGUGUUGCCUUAGCAGAGUCCCAAUGCCAACCCACAGCUUCUUCUGGUGCUUCUCGUGUGCCUCUGUGCAGGAACGCUCUUGUUCCCCUGGCCUGCAUCUGCCUGUUUCUGUAGCUGUGAUCUUCACAGUCCUGUGGCCAGCCCACCUGACAGCUCUCUGGCUUGCCAUGCUGCUGCCCCUCUCCCACAUAGCUGCUCCAACCUGGAAGCCCCUGUUCACCGCUCUCUGCCGCAUUUGCCUCUGUAAUGGGCUGGCCUAACUCCUGUGGGUGCAUGCCCACUUCUGCUGCUGUGGCACCCAUCAAACAUCAGUCUGGUGGACCACAGCUUUCUGAUAAACCUGUGCUGAAUUCCUUCCUUAAGUGCGCCCAGUAAGCAUGUGUUGACGUUGGCAAAUCGAUGGGAGAUGGAGGAAUGCAGCCCAGAAGUGAAGGGGUGGGAGGGUGGGCCUCUUUGGAGGCCUUCCUUCUGGGCUGUUGCCAGGGUGGCUUGCCUUGACCUGUGAUCCUGAACCUUUUAGCAUCUCUGAGAAAAGUGUCACCGAUCCACCUUCCACUUUCUCUCUCUGAUGCUCGAGGGAACAGGACCCAGGAAAGGCUUCAAGGGCUGAGGUUAGGAUCUUUGGGGUCUAGACAAAGCCCCAAAUGUAUCUUUGUUGCUUGGUACUGGUGCACUGGAAUUCAGCUUCUGAUCAAAGUCUGGAUUCCUCUUGAGUGAAUCCAGCACAGAUGUGUUCGUUUUGGUCCACAGUCAAAGUGAGAAGACAGCUGCUUCACCGGUUCUUUUGCUGCUGUCUGUAGGUGGUUUCCCACAGCAGGCUGCCUUGACCUCUGGUCUCCUGACCCUUCAGGAGAAGGUGGCCCUGCUUAUUAGUUUGGGCCCAUCUGGACUCACUUCGAGGUCUGCUUGUACUGUAGCAGCCUCCUUUCUGCCUCAGUUUCCCGUCCCUGAGGCCAAGUGACACCAGUUUGGGUAAUUUCUGAUAUGUCUGUCCUCUUCUCUUCUCUCCUCUUCUCUCCUCCUUCUCCUCCUCCUCUUCCUCCUCCUCUUCCUCCUCCUCUUCCUCCUUCUUCUUCUUCUUCUUCUUCUUCUUCUUCUUCUUCUUCUUCUUCUUCUUCUUCUCCUCUUCCUCCUUCUUCUUCUUCUUCUUCUUUUCUCUCUCUCUCCCUCUCCCUCCCCCUCCCUCCCCCUCUCUCCCCCUCCCUCCCUUACUCCUUCUCCCUCCCUCUCUUUCUCCUUUUCCCUCUCUCAACCCCUUCCUCUUUCCUCCCACUCUCUGCCUUUUCCUCUGUCUUUCCCACCUCUAUACCCCCUUCCAUUCCCUCCCUCUUUCUCUCUUCCUCCCUUUAUGUCUUUUCCUUCCCUCCUCUCAAUCUCUCUCUCUCUCUCUCUCUCUCUCUCUCUCUCUCUCUCUCUCUCUCUCUGUCAGGCAUAUCAACCUUAAGUUAUUGAAAGACUGCCCUGAUAGGUGCAACAAUAGGGUUUCCCCUUGGGCACUUGGGUCAGUCUGUAGUUGUUUAUGUGCUCAGCAGGCAGUGCUCUUCCAAUCAUCAGCUUCUGGAGCAACCUUGCCCAAUGGAGCACAAAGUUAGAGGCUGCACUUCCCUCCUAUUGGGGGGAAUUGAGGGACUGGACAUCGAGUUCCUGUGAAUUCUCUGCACCUCCAAAUUAUCCACACUCUGCAAGCACCGCAAACCAUAACCUUGGAACUCUGCAUUUUGGGGGAGUAUAGUUUAAAAAAACAACUCACUUUCACAACUCUACAGUCUAUACAACCCGGUGGAAAGCUGGUUCCCUGAUGUAACACUACUAGCAGGUUGACAACCUGCAUUCCAUAAAAUUAUUGCCACUGGGUUGGGGGCUGCUGAGGAUCUCUAUGACCCUCAGCCUACCCUCUCACCAUGUUGGCUUUAUCCUUGUUCACUAUUUCCUGGAGGGGAGGGGGGAGGUAAUAACUAGUUCCAAAGUAACCCCAGUAACACUUGCCUUUUUAGUGAUAUUGGAAUUUCCCAGUUUAAGGAAGUUCACGAUAGUUAACAGUUAUCCCUUCUCCAUUCCAAUAUACCUUAGCCAGGACUCAACAACCCCUCCAAGUGCCCUAGGCAGGCUGUAAAGUCUUUGCAAUACAAUCACAAUCAUCCAAAUAGGUACCCCCCAAAAAAAGAACAAAAAAACAAAAAAAUAACAAAAAACAAAAACAAUAGUCCUCGAACUGUCCAGUCCUGUUGUUAUGUGUCGGAUUUUGAACACCUGAAUAGCCCCGGUGACUGACUAUUCAGCUCUGUUCUUCAGGUGUGUAAUGUAUGAUGACAAUUCAAAACUUAACUCACAUCCACAACUCUACAGUCUACACAACCCGGUUCUACAAUGUCACUACAACAACACACAAUAAACAAUAACUCCGGAAAAAAAA
Molecule: RNA transcript, 5010 nt
Organism: Trichosurus vulpecula (common brushtail)
Lineage: Eukaryota; Metazoa; Chordata; Mammalia; Diprotodontia; Phalangeridae
Gene name: ly-6/neurotoxin-like protein 1
Exons: 5
Source: RefSeq, a predicted model, not a curated record